CAGCAGCCACGGUAAUACGUAGGGUGCAAGCGUUAAUCGGAAUUACUGGGCGUAAAGCGUGCACAGGCGGUUUGUUAAGACAGAUGUGAAAUCCCCGGGCUCAACCUGGGAACUGCAUUUGUGACUGGCAGGCUAGAGUAUGGCAGAGGGGGGUGGAAUUCCGCGUGUAGCAGUGAAAUGCGUAGAUAUGCGGAGGAACACCGAUGGCGAAGGCAGCCCCCUGGGCCAAUACUGACGCUCAUGCACGAAAGCGUGGGGAGCAAACAGGAUUAGAUACCCCAGUAGUCCCUGUCUCUUAUAC
RNAcentral lists this ribosomal RNA (301 nucleotides) under uncultured bacterium. RNAcentral describes it as "partial 16S ribosomal RNA". It matches the Rfam family "Bacterial small subunit ribosomal RNA", at positions 509 to 807 of the family's 1533-position model. The record is from RNAcentral.